Molecule: ribosomal RNA, 253 nt
Filed under: uncultured bacterium
Lineage: Bacteria
Description: partial 16S ribosomal RNA
Rfam family: Bacterial small subunit ribosomal RNA
Source: RNAcentral
UACAGAGGGGGCGAGCGUUGUUCGGAAUUACUGGGCGUAAAGGGCGCGUAGGCGGCCUUCUAAGUCGAACGUGAAAUCCCCGGGCUCAACCCGGGAACUGCGUCCGAUACUGGGAGGCUUGAAUCCGGGAGAGGGAUGUGGAAUUCCAGGUGUAGCGGUGAAAUGCGUAGAGAUGUGGAGGAACACCGAUGGCGAAGGCAGCCCCCUGGGUUAACACUGACGCUCAGGCACGAAAGCGUGGGGAGCAAACAGG